AGCAGCCGCGGUAAUUCCAGCUCCAAUAGCGUAUAUUAAAGUUGUUGCAGUUAAAAAGCUCGUAGUUGAAUUUCGGGAUCAGUACGUUGGUCGUGCCUUAGGUACGUACUGGUGUUACUGGUUCCUACCUUCUGACGAACCAUCAUGUCAUUAAUUUGGUGUGGCGGGGAAUCAGGACUGUUACUUUGAAAAAAUUAGAGUGUUUAAAGCAGGCUCGCGCUUGAAUACAUUAGCAUGGAAUAAUGAAAUAGGACGUUGAUCCUAUUUUGUUGGUUUCUUAGGAUUGACGUAAUGAUUAAUAGGGAUAGUUGGGGGCAUUAGUAUUCAAUUGUCAGAGGUGAAAUUCUUGGAUUUAUUGAAGACUAACUACUGCGAAAGCAUUUGCCAAGGAUGUUUUCAUUAAUCAAGAACGAAAGUUAGGGGAUCGAAGACGAUCAGAUA
RNAcentral lists this ribosomal RNA (441 nucleotides) under uncultured Glomeromycotina. Its description in RNAcentral is "SSU rRNA". It matches the Rfam family "Eukaryotic small subunit ribosomal RNA", at positions 569 to 1014 of the family's 1831-position model. The record is from RNAcentral. Lineage: Eukaryota; Fungi; Glomeromycota.